RNAcentral lists this long non-coding RNA (782 nucleotides) under Phoenix dactylifera (date palm). Its description in RNAcentral is "long non-coding RNA (PDAC_LNC003469)". Lineage: Eukaryota; Viridiplantae; Streptophyta; Magnoliopsida; Arecales; Arecaceae. The record is from RNAcentral.
GAGCAUUUUCAUUCUUAGCUUAGCUUAUAUAUAUAAAGAACCAGUUUGCCAUGGCUUCUCUUGUGGCAUAUCUUGAACUUAUAAAUGCAUCGGCUAUUUCGGCAGGUCUCCUUCACCUACUCCAUUGGGUGAUAUUAACCGGCAAGAGUCAGUGCCAUCAAUUAGAAUCAUGCAAAGAGUAGAACUUCCCUCUUUUUGAGAAAUAAAGCAAAAACCUAAUCAUACUUGUUGAGUUUCUGGUCUUAAAGAAAGGUGGCCCCUGAAUGUUAUUUGCAGAUGCUUGAGGAGAUGAUGAUUUGUAAAAAGAUCAGACGUUUUAUAAGGAUAUAUAUUUGGCUGGUAGUGUUUGUGGACCGUUCUUAAAUCUCUUUUUAUAAGUAAUACAUAUGAUGCGCCAACCUCCCAGUUAAGAAAUUAAUGUAUAAGAUGGAUUGAUGCUCUUUUUCAGGUGUCCGCUGCACAAAAAUUUAAGGAAUGAAUGCUGGGGUCAUGCUGGCGAACAUGUCAACUUUCUUCAGAUGAUGAGAUGCCUGUUAAUAUAUACGGAUGCUUUGUCUGAACUCGGGAAAGUUUAUUAAAAUGUUAAGUUCUCUUUGUUGUCAGGAAUUUUAGGUUUAGCUUCUCAAGGAAGGAGUUUAGGUUAUUGAUGCACAUCAUGUUUAAACUUGUAGGUUGUUUGGUAAAAGCCACAAUAUUAUCAUUCUUGUAGAAAAAUGUUGAAGCAUCUGAAGUGAACAAUCAAUAAUGUAAUUUAAGAUGCCCUUUUCUAGACUAUUAUGCAC